CAGAACUGUUCCUCUGUUCGUGUUCGAGAAUGUAGCCUACACGAUAGUUGUUACAACUUGUUAUGCAGUUGUUACGGGAUACACUCUUGUCGGACAUUUUUCGUACAUAAAAUAGUACAAUUUAUAUUUGGCAAUUCCAUCUGAUUAAGUGGCCUGAAAACUGAUUGAUACAUUUUCCCAAAAUGUCAUCAGAUGGAGAAAUACUUCAGAACAGUAAAACCUGUUGAAGUCUGAGCUUCUUCAUUGCAGUCCGAUGACAUGGAUUUGCUGCAGCCAGCUGGCGGAAGGUGUUCCUCUUUCAAGCUUGCUAUCUGUGGCGGUUGUAACUUUCAUUACAUGCAGAAACACUACAGAACAAUUUAAAGUAUGUUUAUCCUGUAUUGUUCCCGUAGUUGCUGUCCGAUGUGGCUCGUUGCAGCCUAUGCUGGUGAAAAUCAUUUUUGCAUCUUGUUAAAC
This is a long non-coding RNA of Daphnia pulicaria, 456 nucleotides long. RefSeq lists it as uncharacterized. The record is from RefSeq and is a predicted model, not a curated record. NCBI's taxonomy places the organism in Eukaryota, Metazoa, Arthropoda, Branchiopoda, Diplostraca, Daphniidae. The transcript is spliced from 4 exons.